Molecule: ribosomal RNA, 328 nt
Filed under: uncultured eukaryote
Lineage: Eukaryota
Description: partial 18S ribosomal RNA
Rfam family: Eukaryotic small subunit ribosomal RNA
Source: RNAcentral
CCCUUAGAUGUCCGGGGCUGCACGCGCGCUACACUGAAGGACUCAGCGUGCUAAAACCAUUGUCGAAAGGCAUUGGUAAACCCAUUAAAAUCCUACGUGAUUGGGAUCGGGAAUUGCAAUUAUUUCCCUUGAACGAGGAAUUCCCAGUAAGUGUGGGUCAUAAGCUCGCGUUGAUUACGUCCCUGCCCUUUGUACACACCGCCCGUCGCUGCCCGGGACUGAGCCGUUUCGAGAAAAGCGGGGACUGCUGCUGUCGGGGCUUUCGGGCCUUGGCUUCGGUGGAAACCGCUUUAAUCGCAGUGGCUUGAACCGGGCAAAAGUCGUAACA